AGGACGAACGCUGGCGGCGUGCUUAACACAUGCAAGUCGAGCGAGGCCCGUUCCUUCGGGAGCGGUGCCCUAGCGGCGAACGGGUGAAUAACACGUGGGCAACCUGCCCCUAGCACUGGGAUAACUCCGGGAAACCGGGGCUAAUACCGGAUACGACCUCUGAGGGCAUCCUCCGGAGGUGGAAAAGAUUCUGGCUAGGGAUGGGCCCGCGGCCUAUCAGCUUGUUGGUGGGGUAACGGCCUACCAAGGCGACGACGGGUAGCCGGCCUGAGAGGGCGACCGGCCACACUGGGACUGAGACACGGCCCAGACUCCUACGGGAGGCAGCAGUGGGGAAUAUUGCACAAUGGGCGAAAGCCUGAUGCAGCGACGCCGCGUGAGGGAUGACGGCCUUCGGGUUGUAAACCUCUUUCAGCAGGGACGAAGCGAAAGUGACGGUACCUGCAGAAGAAGCACCGGCCAACUACGCGCCAGCAGCCGCGGUAA
This 486-nucleotide ribosomal RNA is filed under the name uncultured bacterium. RNAcentral's name for it is "SSU rRNA". It matches the Rfam family "Bacterial small subunit ribosomal RNA", at positions 26 to 523 of the family's 1533-position model. The record is from RNAcentral.